This 255-nucleotide ribosomal RNA is filed under the name uncultured bacterium. RNAcentral's name for it is "partial 16S ribosomal RNA". It matches the Rfam family "Bacterial small subunit ribosomal RNA", at positions 793 to 1055 of the family's 1533-position model. The record is from RNAcentral.
GUCCACGCCGUAAACGAUGGAUACUAGCUGUUGGGAGCAAUCUCAGUGGCUAAGCGAAAGUGAUAAGUAUCCCACCUGGGGAGUACGUUCGCAAGAAUGAAACUCAAAGGAAUUGACGGGGGCCCGCACAAGCGGUGGAGCAUGUGGUUUAAUUCGAUGAUACGCGAGGAACCUUACCAAGGCUUAAAUGUAGAUUGACAGGUUUGGAAACAGACUUUUCUUCGGACAAUUUACAAGGUGCUGCAUGGUUGUCGU